UGGGGAAUUUUGGACAAUGGGGGAAACCCUGAUCCAGCCAUCCCGCGUGUGCGAUGAAGGCCUUCGGGUUGUAAAGCACUUUUGUCCGGAAAGAAAUGGCUCUGGUUAAUACCUGGGGUCGAUGACGGUACCGGAAGAAUAAGGACCGGCUAACUACGUGCCAGCAGCCGCGGUAAUACGUAGGGUCCAAGCGUUAAUCGGAAUUACUGGGCGUAAAGCGUGCGCAGGCGGUUGUGCAAGACCGAUGUGAAAUCCCCGAGCUUAACUUGGGAAUUGCAUUGGUGACUGCACGGCUAGAGUGUGUCAGAGGGGGGUAGAAUUCCACGUGUAGCAGUGAAAUGCGUAGAGAUGUGGAGGAAUACCGAUGGCGAAGGCAGCCCCCUGGGAUAACACUGACGCUCAUGCACGAAAGCGUGGGGAGCAAAACAGGAUUAGAUACCCUGGUAGUCCACG
RNAcentral lists this ribosomal RNA (453 nucleotides) under uncultured bacterium. Its description in RNAcentral is "partial 16S ribosomal RNA". It matches the Rfam family "Bacterial small subunit ribosomal RNA", at positions 355 to 799 of the family's 1533-position model. The record is from RNAcentral.